Portunus trituberculatus (swimming crab) is the source of this 676-nucleotide long non-coding RNA. RefSeq lists it as uncharacterized. NCBI's taxonomy places the organism in Eukaryota, Metazoa, Arthropoda, Malacostraca, Decapoda, Portunidae. The transcript has 3 exons. The record is from RefSeq and is a predicted model, not a curated record.
UCUCAAGGUCGCCAGCGGUUCGCCCUUACUUUUGGUCCUCCCAGACUCGUGUGUGUCAUAGUAGUGGUAGUAUAUCCUCCUCCACAGGUGUUACACUUCCGUGAAGGUGCUGCCCACCUGGGGUGUGUGGCUGACGAGUGUUGAUUGCACCCAUUUUAAAGGAAGACAAAAUUCCUGGCCUUUCGGUCCUGCACAAUUGAGGGAUCACAACUCCUCGUCCUCUGCGCGCUGAAAGAGCUACAGCCUGAACUGCCUCCUCCCGGCCCAGUGCUGAGGAUAAAUGUAAGGAGGGACUGAACAUCGUAUAAUGCCGACUUGAAGACUAUCAUCAGAAUCAUGAAAACAUCCUUUAAAAUCCUUGUAACGCUUUAGGUUCAAAUAAAGAUAAUUUUUAAACACUGCAGGGAUCACGAUUAGCUGAAUACUCAUUAUCUCUCCUUUUCACUGAUGUUGUAGUCUUUGAAACUAUUACUAAAAACCCAUGAAAACACUCUUGAAAACACUGGCAUCGUCCACAACAGUCUUGGAAGUAGUCGAGAUAAGACAUCCAGUACGUUAUAUGAACAUUUAUUUACUAUCAGAAUGUGUGUGAGCGUUUAUCUCCCGUUACAUUCAAUACUUUUGUACUUGUAUGAAAUCCGCAACAAUAUAUUCAUGCAUCAUGUCAUUUAAAAUA